AAAUUUACAGAUAUUACUAACUUUCAGUUGCCCAUAGAUGAAAGGACCUAAGCACCACAGUUUCAGCCUCCAUGACUCGACUAAUGUGUCAACGUUUCGCAAAUCCGCCAUGUAAUACAGGUCAUUUUGUUUCUGUAGCAACCGCCCGCUGUAAACUUGGCAGAUGUGAGCAUAGGAGUUAUAUAGAGUUCAAAUAAGGCAACACGAGUAGAGUUCACGUACGGAAACAUUAGAUGGCUGUAGUUCCUCUUGAAUACAUUGAGCUUUUAUGAGUACAUACAAGUUGGAUACUUGGCUUGCAACUAAAGAUGGAUGUGAAAACUAUCUGCGACAACACGUGGAAAUUUAAAGUAUUGCAUUCAUGGUUAGCCGAAAACACAGUGAUUGAUAUGUAGAAACAAUCAAACAGAAAUUUAUAUACUGAUUGAUAUAAAGAAUAUAGAGUUUGAUAUGUGUAACACAUAGAUUGAUGUGUGUAAAACAGAGAUUAAUAUGUGUAACACAGAGAAUGAUGUGCUGAACACACAGAUUGCCAUGUGGCACACGUACAUUGACAUUUGGACGCUCUACAAGCAUGCACAAGUUACAAUGGCGUCGUAUUAUAUGCGUUUGCUCGCUUGCUCGCAAACAAACACGUAAAAUCUGCAUUCAAAUUAAAAACAUUCAUUCUUAAAUAUACGUUUAAGACAUAUCUAAAUUUAUUUUAAUAAAUAUCAUCCCAUU
This is a long non-coding RNA of Dreissena polymorpha, 723 nucleotides long. RefSeq lists it as uncharacterized. Lineage: Eukaryota; Metazoa; Mollusca; Bivalvia; Myida; Dreissenidae. The record is from RefSeq and is a predicted model, not a curated record. The transcript has 2 exons.